This 3479-nucleotide long non-coding RNA is filed under the name Homo sapiens (human). RNAcentral's name for it is "HSALNT0368806". Lineage: Eukaryota; Metazoa; Chordata; Mammalia; Primates; Hominidae. The record is from RNAcentral.
AGUUUUGGGCUUUUUUUUUUUUUUGCCUGAAGUUUUUCUUUUAACAGACUGGUGUCAGAAAUGGGAUCUGAGGUAGAACCUUAGUGACUCCCAGGAGGACCAAGUGACCAAAUGAAGGUACCCACCAGGCCCAACUAUGCCCAUUGAUCUCUUGUAGCAACUGAGAUUGUGAUUGAAUUCUCUUUCAGAUUUCAAGUUCCACAAACUUGUAUUUUGAACUUUCUGAGUUUAUUUGGACAUUUUAAAAUUUGGACUGGGCUUGGAAGUCAUGACAGAAAUAGGACUGGUUUCUGUAGGGAGGCCUCAGGUGUCUGACUGGGUCAGAAAGAAACUGAACUGGGUUCAGUAGGUAGGUGAGGUUACCAUAAGACAGAGAAUCAUAGGUUCCUCUGGAUCCAAGGAGUCUAGAACUCCUGCAUCUGGAACUCCAGCCAAUUUAAUAUAUAAGAACUCUGGACCCAGAACUGUACUUUUCUUAAAAAAAAAAAAAAAGGAUAAACCUUACCAAAGGUAACCUAGAGUUACAGUGGCCACAGUGGGAAAGUUUUAAUCUAGACAAAAUUGUUCACUUGUGAGCUGCAUUAGAAAAGAGGAUCCAAAAUGCUUCAGAAACAAAGGAAUCCUUUUUUUUCUAAACUGGUACUCAGAGCCUUCCAAAAGAUUAAAUGAAUACAAAAUUGCCACUCUAAAAGACUCUUUACAAAAGGUGAACAGGCACAUGUCUUUAUAGUAGCUAUAACAGCUGUAGGGACCAAGAAGAUCUCCUUGUAUAUGUUUUAAACCAAAACCAAGGAGUCCCAGAUGAAAGAACCCUGUGCCCUAAGACAUUUGCCUUUAUUAUAAACUGCUAGACCAUUGGAAAAGAAAGUAUCAAUUUUUACACCAGGCAUCUGACGGACCCAUUCCUUUUGGCUUGGACUGAUUCCCGACUAGAGGAAGCCUCUAAAGGCUUCACUCCUGAGACAAUAAUCAACUAAUCUCUCAGAAAUUAAAAAAAUAGAAUAUUUCUUUGGUAGGGAUUUAAAAUCAAGUCUUAAAGAUCCUCAUAUUUAAUUGACUAUUUCCAGAAAAAUACUUGUAAGAAUUAUUGGUCUCUGUUUUUUUCUAUUUGAUCUCAUGGAAACCUCUCUCUCCGUUGGGAACUUCUCCGUUGAUUAAAACCCCUCUUCUCAAACCCCUGCUGACUAUAUGAUCUGCCAACUUUGUCUACCUCUUUCUUGUUGUCAUGAUCUUUGGUAUGCCCCAAAACUCUUUCUUGGAAAACAACAACAACAACAACAACAACAAGACAACUGAUUGCUUUGUCAUUCAAUCUUGAAAACAAACAAACAAACAAGAAAAUAACAAAGCAGUCUCUAACAAUAAGGCAAGAUUAGAAGUAUCCAUUUGAGUCCAGGCAUACAAAAUGCUUGUCCCUAGACUUCCAUGGGCUCCACCCACUCAAUAUUCUAGCAAAAAGACACAAACUUUGUUUUUGGGAAAGAAUGGAUAGGCCCUUGGAAGAAUAGAUGGUGGUUUGUGACAAAGUCAGUCUAUGAUGGACUUCUGGCCUCCUCUCCUGUGAUUUUGGGAAUUUCUACAUGGACCCUUUGGAAGUUUCCAUCUGGAAACUUCUCCUUGUAGAGAGAGAGAUAUUAAACUAAUUGGGCUUAUUUUAUGUAUUAAAUUAUAUGGGAAGCAUUGUCAAAUAAUGCUAAACCUCCAUUGAGUUAUAUUUGUAUGAUUAUUUUAUUAAUAUGUGCUUCAGAAAUUCUAUGAAAUUCAUAGAAAUCUAAUAGUCCUGGUGUAACACUAUCAGUCUUAAUUCUAGUUGUUAUCUUAAAAUGUUGUAUGCAGCAAUAACCAAAUUUCCUUGUCAAUUGCAUAAUCAUUGUAAUUAACUCUCAUUAGAUCUUUAAAAAUGGCCACUUAAAUUAUGUGUUUUUGUCAUUCACAGAAGGAAAAUUGUUUACUCUGGUAUCUUCCUAAGAAACUGUACACUUAAAUUGUUUUGUCUUCAAGGAGAUUCAUAGAAAGGACUCUAACAAGUUUCUGAUAACUUUAAGAUUAUACCAUUAAACUAGCAGGUAAAGGAAGAUUUUCAUGAUUCACUGACUGAGGACAAUCAAAUUCUUCACCACGUAGAACCUAGACAUUGGGUCUUUGGAAAGGACAUCAGAGAAAGACUGCCAUUAAGCUCCAUUGGAAGAGACCAUAUCAAGUUCUUUUCUGCAGCAAACCAUCAGGCUCUCAAGUCUUGGAUCUAUGUCUCUCAACUCAAAAGAGCUCCUCCAGACUCCUGGAACUGUAUACCUAUUGGAGACUCUAAGGUAAAGCUCACCAGGGAAGAUUUCCCCCAGGAGCAGUUGGCAUCCUAGACUUCAACAGCUUUCGUAAGAUUGUGGAUCAAGACUUCUCUGCCAUCAUGAAAGUCUUAUCUUUUCCCUUUCUUCCCAAUUUCCUGCUGUCCCAGUCCCUUUCUUUUACUUAUAGGAAAAUCCAUGGGGCCAUAAUCUGUGGAUGGCUUUAGCUAAGUCUUAUGCUGUAGUGAAAAAACAGAGCAAUUGUUGGGUUUAUGAAGAUAAGCUAGUUUCUACUGAGGAAAGAUUCCAGUGGCAUUCCUGGGGGCUCAGUCUUGGUACUAGCAGGGUACUGGUAGUAUGGAAUUUGAAAGUAAUCCAUAAAAUGAGAAAAAUCUUGGGUUUGACCAACCAGUCCCCACAGAGGUUCAGGUGAGUAGAAGUCAUCUUUUGAAAACACUUAAUAAAACAUCAUGCAGUUUUGGAUCCUGUUUCCUUAGACACUGCCACCAAAUACAUAAAGGAAAUUUCUCAGAGGAAAGAAACAUAUGACAUGUUCAUAGGAGCAGCAAACCAUUGGUUUGCAGGUAGGCUUGGCUUUUCCAAGGUGUUCUAACCUUUAUGCUCUUCUAAUGGUUCUCCAGAUUACUAUGACUUGUGUUAACAAGAUAAUGACAACAUUGGAUACCUCUUUAAAUCAGCAAACUGCAGUUCUUAAUCAUUAUCACCUCCUGAACAAAAACCAUGACCAACGGUACUCAAAUGCUUUUGAGCUGCCUGUAAGGGAGGAGACCACCCCUCAUAUUGUCUUAUGCCCAAUUUCUGCCUCCAAAUAAAGAAGAAGUAAAAACUAAAAGGCAGAAACGAAAUCCACAAGCAGACAGCCCGGUGCCACACCCUGGGCCUGGUAGUUAAAGAUCGAUGCCUGACCUAAUCAGUUAUGUUAUCUAUAGAUUACAGAUAUCGUAUAGGAAAGCACUGUGAAAAUCCCUGUCCUGUUUUGUUCCGAUCUAAUUACCAGUGCAUGCAACCCCCAGUCAUGUACCCCUGGCUUGCUCAAUCGAUCACAACCCUCUCAAGUGGACCCCCUUAGAGUUGUGAGCCCUUAAAAGGGGCAGGAAUUGCUCACUCAGGGAGCUCAGCUCUUGAGACAGGAGUCUUGCCAAUGCUCCCGGCCGAAUAAACUGCUUCCUUCUUUAA